AAGGUAGCAUAAUAAUUUGCCUUAUAAUUUGAGGCUAGAAUGAAUGGUUUGACGAAGGUUAGUCUGUCUCUAUUUUACUUUUUAGAAAUUAAUUUUCAUAGUGAAAAAGCUUGAAUUUUUUAAAGGGACGAGAAGACCCUAUUGAGCUUGUAAUUUUAUUAGUUACCAGUUAAUAUUAUAUAAAUAUGGUAACUUAUAAAUUUUAAUUGGGGUGAUUAAGGAAUAAAUGUUUAGUUAGUAACUUCCUUAGAUUAAUAAAUAAAUUGUUAAAUGAAGUAACCAAUAAAAUUUAAUGUAUAAAUAUUGCUUAUAAUAUAGUUACCAUAGGGAUAACAGCGUAAUUUAUUUAGAGAGUUCUUAUUGAGACAAUGAGAUUGCGAC
RNAcentral lists this ribosomal RNA (381 nucleotides) under Lolliguncula brevis. Its description in RNAcentral is "partial 16S ribosomal RNA". The record is from RNAcentral. Lineage: Eukaryota; Metazoa; Mollusca; Cephalopoda; Myopsida; Loliginidae.